GGAUGACAAAAUACUUAAUAUAUGUUCAAACAUAAAGUAAACAAUGUAUCACACCAGUCCGCACAGACUAACACUUAAACAGCCUCCAAGAUAUAUAAUGCUGUCUUAAACAUCUGUUGUCUAAGAGGAAAAGUAAGUCGAGAUCUUCAGACUUCACAGCAUCCAACUCUCUAGGCUUAAUAGCUCGAUUCGACCUACUAUGACUCAUCCGACCAUGAAGCGAUAGCUAGAGUGUGGCGUCCACCGCAGGCGACUAGUUUAGCACACCACCGACCAGUAGAACUACUGCGAUUGGUUGGCGAUGGCACACCAAUUGGCACUUCCGUUGGCUGGCCAGUUGUUAUCUUCCUUCCAUAUCCAAGGCGACCAUGAUCUCCCCGUCCAAAUGAAAACAUUCGCCCGUCACGAGUGCACGCAACCGAAUGUGUGCCCCCACAGGAUACCUGGACAAUAUCUUCGCCUGCUAGAAGUUGGACUUUCUGAGGAACCAUUUUACUGCUUUUGUCAUUGUCUCCGAAUCCGAGCCUCCCAUGCUCUCCUCUUCCCCAAGCAUACACCUCUCCAUCAUCAGUCAAAGCUGUGGAAUGCCAACCUCCUGCAGCAAUAUCAACCAAUGUGAGCCCAGAUAAGCCAUGAACAGGAAUAGGCUGUGAUCUCGGUUGAGUAUCUCCAGUCCCAAGUUGGCCAUAUUCAUUACUUCCCCAUGCCCACAACAUUCCAUCCUCUAGAAGUGCCAAAUUGUGGAAUGCCCCCACUGCAAUCAGCCUCACCUUUUCAAGGCCUUGUACUCGUACAGGAGCCCAUAUCUGUU
Molecule: unclassified non-coding RNA, 811 nt
Filed under: Hevea brasiliensis (rubber tree)
Lineage: Eukaryota; Viridiplantae; Streptophyta; Magnoliopsida; Malpighiales; Euphorbiaceae
Source: RNAcentral